Molecule: ribosomal RNA, 29 nt
Filed under: Coffea brassii
Lineage: Eukaryota; Viridiplantae; Streptophyta; Magnoliopsida; Gentianales; Rubiaceae
Description: partial 26S ribosomal RNA
Source: RNAcentral
UACCCGCUGAGUUUAAGCAUAUCAAUAAG